Podarcis muralis (Common wall lizard) is the source of this 715-nucleotide non-coding RNA. NCBI's taxonomy places the organism in Eukaryota, Metazoa, Chordata, Lepidosauria, Squamata, Lacertidae. The record is from RefSeq and is a predicted model, not a curated record.
AUAUAUAUAUAUAUAUAUAUAUAUAUAUAUGACAAGAAAAGAAAUCUUGAUUCAACAACACUCUUCUCCUCACAAGAGCUUGCGCAUACAGACACACACACCCCUUUCUCAACACACACACACAAGCAUUCAGGAGAAUCAAAAUUAGUUGUGACAGCUGAAAUUCUGUACUCAUCUAAGGACAUUUUGACAGGGAGACCAGACUCAUUUCAAAUGGCUGCCUCAGAGAAAUAUACUACACCUUUUUCUGGCAAGGAGAGCAUCCAGAAGAACCACGUAUUCACGGUGUAUGCUUCACAAUGAAGAACUCCCUUCUGUCUGUGAUAAAGGGCUCAGAACAUUUGUUUUCCCUCCACUUCUCAAUUGCCUUCAUUUUGGUUAACAUCUUGAGCAUCCAAGACAGACGGAUGUCAACAAGGACCAAAACUCAGGCAUCCUUUGAAAUUUGCACUUCUCUGAAUUUUCCAGUGUGGUUUUCCUGCCAAAUAAUGUGUUUUUAAAAAUGUAUAUACUGGGGCAAAGUGCCCAUAAAAAUUAAUCCCCCCUGCCAUGAAAAUAACAUGAAAAUGCUUUAUUUUAGGGUAAAUGGCUUUGGAAAAAUAUGUCUAUUAGGGGAAAUUGCAGCUUGUAAACCACUUAAAAGUUCUGUCGGCGAUCAAGCGUUAUAUACAUUAUAUACAUUUUUUAAAAAUUAAAAUAAAUCAAUGAAAUAGAA